RNAcentral lists this ribosomal RNA (617 nucleotides) under Oiovelia cunucunumana. RNAcentral's name for it is "partial 12S ribosomal RNA". Lineage: Eukaryota; Metazoa; Arthropoda; Insecta; Hemiptera; Veliidae. The record is from RNAcentral.
ACCAUUAAUUUUGUUUUUAAUAAAAGUUUGAUUCUUGCUUUUGAAUUUGGAUUUUGAACUAUUUUAUAUGUAAGGUUUUCCUUUUAUCUAAAUGAUUUUUUUUCAGUGUUUAAUUUUAGUUUUUAUUAAAAGAUAAAACUAGGGUUUUAAUAUAUAAUUGACAAAGGCUGUGCCAGCCGUCGCGGUUAUACAGUCAAUUAGAUUGAAUUUUUUUGAGUAAAUAUUAAUUUUUUGUUUUAUAAUUUUAUUUUUUAUUUUUAGGUGAAAUUUUUAAUAUUUUAAAUUAUUAUAGGUGAAUGAUUUAUAUAUGAAAAUUAUUAAUAAACUAGGAUUAGAUACCCUAUUAUAAUAAUUGUAAAUUUUCUUAGUAUUAAUAGUUAUGUUCUUUAAAUUAAAAGAAUUUGGCGGUAAUUUAAUCUUUCUAGAGGAACCUGUCCUGUAAUUGAUAAUCCACGAUUGAUUUUACUUUAAUUUAGUUUAUAUAUCGCUGUCAUUGAAUGUUUUAGGAGAUUAUUUUCUUUAAACUUUAUUAGUUUAAUGUUAGGUCAAGAUGUAGCAAUAUUAAAGUAGAGAUGGGUUACAUUAAUUUUAUUUUUGGAUUAAUAUUUGUAAUUAUU